CCUACGGGAGGCAGCAGUGGGGAAUAUUGCACAAUGGGCGAAAGCCUGAUGCAGCGACGCCGCGUGAGGGAUGACGGCCUUCGGGUUGUAAACCUCUUUCAGCAGGGAAGAAGCGCAAGUGACGGUACCUGCAGAAGAAGCACCGGCUAACUACGUGCCAGCAGCCGCGGUAAUACGUAGGGUGCGAGCGUUGUCCGGAAUUAUUGGGCGUAAAGAGCUCGUAGGCGGCUUGUCACGUCGGGUGUGAAAGCCCGGGGCUUAACCCCGGGUCUGCAUUCGAUACGGGCAGGCUUGAGUGUGGUAGGGGAGAUCGGAAUUCCUGGUGUAGCGGUGAAAUGCGCAGAUAUCAGGAGGAACACCGGUGGCGAAGGCGGAUCUCUGGGCCAUUACUGACGCUGAGGAGCGAAAGCGUGGGGAGCGAACAGGAUUAGAUACCCUGGUAGUCCACGCCGUAAACGUUGGGAACUAGGUGUUGGCGACAUUCCACGUCGUCGGUGCCGCAGCUAACGCAUUAAGUUCCCCGCCUGGGGAGUACGGCCGCAAGGCUAAAACUCAAAGGAAUUGACGG
RNAcentral lists this ribosomal RNA (568 nucleotides) under uncultured bacterium. RNAcentral describes it as "bacterial SSU rRNA". It matches the Rfam family "Bacterial small subunit ribosomal RNA", at positions 338 to 916 of the family's 1533-position model. The record is from RNAcentral.